UCCUACGGGAGGCAGCAGUAGGGAAUCUUCGGCAAUGGACGGAAGUCUGACCGAGCAACGCCGCGUGAGUGAAGAAGGUUUUCGGAUCGUAAAGCUCUGUUGUAAGAGAAGAACGAGUGUGAGAGUGGAAAGUUCACACUGUGACGGUAUCUUACCAGAAAGGGACGGCUAACUACGUGC
RNAcentral lists this ribosomal RNA (180 nucleotides) under uncultured bacterium. RNAcentral describes it as "partial 16S ribosomal RNA". It matches the Rfam family "Bacterial small subunit ribosomal RNA", at positions 337 to 508 of the family's 1533-position model. The record is from RNAcentral.